This 203-nucleotide ribosomal RNA is filed under the name Bifidobacterium sp. 401. RNAcentral describes it as "partial 16S ribosomal RNA". It matches the Rfam family "Bacterial small subunit ribosomal RNA", at positions 202 to 405 of the family's 1533-position model. Lineage: Bacteria; Bacillati; Actinomycetota; Actinomycetes; Bifidobacteriales; Bifidobacteriaceae. The record is from RNAcentral.
AAAGCUGUGCUCGGCCGUGGGAUGGGGUCGCGUCCUAUCAGCUUGUUGGCGGGGUGAGGGCUCCACCAAGGCUUCGACGGGUAGCCGGCCUGAGAGGGCGACCGGCCACAUUGGGACUGAGAUACGGCCCAGACUCCUACGGGAGGCAGCAGUGGGGAAUAUUGCACAAUGGGCGCAAGCCUUAUGCAGCGACGCCGCGUGAG